Molecule: ribosomal RNA, 460 nt
Filed under: uncultured bacterium
Lineage: Bacteria
Description: partial 16S ribosomal RNA
Rfam family: Bacterial small subunit ribosomal RNA
Source: RNAcentral
CCUACGGGUGGCAGCAGUGAGGAAUAUUGGUCAAUGGACGAGAGUCUGAACCAGCCAAGUAGCGUGAAGGAUGACUGCCCUAUGGGUUGUAAACUUCUUUUAUAUGGGAAUAAAAUGUUCCACGUGUGGGAUUUUGUAUGUACCAUAUGAAUAAGGCUCGGCUAACUCCGUGCCAGCAGCCGCGGUAAUACGGAGGAUCCGAGCGUUAUCCGGAUUUAUUGGGUUUAAAGGGAGCGUAGGUGGAUUGUUAAGUCAGUUGUGAAAGUUUGCGGCUCAACCGUAAAAUUGCAGUUGAAACUGGCAGUCUUGAGUACAGUAGAGGUGGGCGGAAUUCGUGGUGUAGCGGUGAAAUGCUUAGAUAUCACGAAGAACUCCGAUUGCGAAGGCAGUUCACUGGACUGCAACUGACACUGAGGCUCGAAAGUGUGGGUAUCAAACAGGAUUAGAUACCCUAGUAGUC